GCGGUGUUAGCUCAGCUGGUAGAGCACCGGACUUUUAAUCCGAUGGUCGCGAGUUCGAUCCUCGCACACCGUACCA
RNAcentral lists this transfer RNA (76 nucleotides) under Methylophilales bacterium BACL14 MAG-120910-bin43. Its description in RNAcentral is "tRNA-Lys". It matches the Rfam family "tRNA". From Rfam's summary of the family: Transfer RNA (tRNA) molecules are approximately 80 nucleotides in length. Their secondary structure includes four short double-helical elements and three loops (D, anti-codon, and T loops). Further hydrogen bonds mediate the characteristic L-shaped molecular structure. tRNAs have two regions of fundamental functional importance: the anti-codon, which is responsible for specific mRNA codon recognition, and the 3' end, to which the tRNAs corresponding amino acid is attached (by aminoacyl-tRNA synthetases). tRNAs cope with the degeneracy of the genetic code in two manners: having more than one tRNA (with a specific anti-codon) for a particular amino acid; and 'wobble' base-pairing, i.e. permitting non-standard base-pairing at the 3rd anti-codon position. RNAcentral also lists the same sequence under 4 other names. Lineage: Bacteria; Pseudomonadati; Pseudomonadota; Betaproteobacteria; Nitrosomonadales. The record is from RNAcentral.